Molecule: ribosomal RNA, 377 nt
Filed under: uncultured bacterium
Lineage: Bacteria
Description: partial 16S ribosomal RNA
Rfam family: Bacterial small subunit ribosomal RNA
Source: RNAcentral
CCUACGGGAGGCUGCAGUAGGGAAUUUUGCGCAAUGGGGGAAACCCUGACGCAGCAACACCGCGUGAAUGUUAAGCCCUUCGGGGUGUAAAGUUCUUUCAAUAGGGACGAAUUUUGACUGUACCUAUAAAGGAAGCACCGGCUAAUUCCGUGCCAGCAGCCGCGGUAAUACGGGGGGCGCAAGCGUUGUCCGGAAUCAUGGGGCGUAAAGCGUUCGUAGGCGGUUUGUCAAGUCUGAUGUGAAAGCCCGGGGCUCAACUGGGGUUCGGCAUUGGAUACUGGCAGACUAGAAUGUGGUAGAGGUGAGGGGAAUUCCAGGUGUAGCGGUGAAAUGCGUAGAUAUAAGGAGGAACAUCAGUGGCGAAGGCGGUUUACUGG